AGAGUUUGAUCCUGGCUCAGAGCGAACGCUGGCGGCAGGCCUAACACAUGCAGUCGAACGGAUCCUUCGGGAUUAGUGGCGGACGGGUGAGUAACACGUGGGAACGUGCCUUUUGGUUCGGAACAACUCAGGGAAACUUGAGCUAAUACCGGAUAAGCCUUUCGAGGGAAAGAUUUAUCGCCAUUAGAGCGGCCCGCGUAGGAUUAGCUAGUUGGUGGGGUAAAGGCCCACCAAGGCUACGAUCCUUAGCUGGUCUGAGAGGAUGAUCAGCCACAUUGGGACUGAGACACGGCCCAAACUCCUACGGGAGGCAGCAGUGGGGAAUCUUGCGCAAUGGGCGAAAGCCUGACGCAGCCAUGCCGCGUGAAUGAUGAAGGUCUUAGGAUUGUAAAAUUCUUUCACCGGGGACGAUAAUGACGGUACCCGGAGAAGAAGCCCCGGCUAACUUCGUGCCAGCAGCCGCGGUAAUACGAAGGGGGCUAGCGUUGCUCGGAAUUACUGGGCGUAAAGGGAGCGUAGGCGGAUAGUUUAGUCAGAGGUGAAAGCCCAGGGCUCAACCUUGGAAUUGCCUUUGAUACUGGCUAUCUUGAGUACGGAAGAGGUAUGUGGAACUCCGAGUGUAGAGGUGAAAUUCGUAGAUAUUCGGAAGAACACCAGUGGCGAAGGCGACAUACUGGUCCGUUACUGACGCUGAGGCUCGAAAGCGUGGGGAGCAAACAGGAUUAGAUACCCUGGUAGUCCACGCUGUAAACGAUGAGUGCUAGUUGUCGGCAGGCAUGCCUGUCGGUGACGCAGCUAACGCAUUAAGCACUCCGCCUGGGGAGUACGGUCGCAAGAUUAAAACUCAAAGGAAUUGACGG
Molecule: ribosomal RNA, 860 nt
Filed under: Caulobacter sp. C1R12_pA
Lineage: Bacteria; Pseudomonadati; Pseudomonadota; Alphaproteobacteria; Caulobacterales; Caulobacteraceae
Description: bacterial SSU rRNA
Rfam family: Bacterial small subunit ribosomal RNA
Source: RNAcentral